ACUCCUACGGGAGGCUGCAGUAGGGAAUAUUGGUCAAUGGGCGAGAGCCUGAACCAGCCAUGCCGCGUGCAGGAUGACGGCCUUCUGGGUUGUAAACUGCUUUUAUCAGGGAAGAAAAGGGUCCUGCGGCACCGAUUGACUGUACCUGAUGAAUAAGCACCGGCUAACUCCGUGCCAGCAGCCGCGGUAAU
RNAcentral lists this ribosomal RNA (191 nucleotides) under uncultured bacterium. Its description in RNAcentral is "partial 16S ribosomal RNA". It matches the Rfam family "Bacterial small subunit ribosomal RNA", at positions 335 to 524 of the family's 1533-position model. The record is from RNAcentral.